GUUUACGGCCAUACCACCAUGAACAAGCCCAAAUCUAUCUGAUCUUGGAAGCUAAGUAGUGUUGGGCCUGGUUAGUACUUGGAUGGGAGACCACCUAGGAAGACCAGGUGCUGUAGGUG
RNAcentral lists this ribosomal RNA (119 nucleotides) under Pteropus alecto (black flying fox). The record is from RNAcentral. Lineage: Eukaryota; Metazoa; Chordata; Mammalia; Chiroptera; Pteropodidae.